UACGUAGGGUGCGAGCGUUGUCCGGAAUUAUUGGGCGUAAAGAGCUCGUAGGCGGUGUGUCGCGUCGGCCGUGAAAACCUGGGGCUUAACUCUGGGCGUGCGGUCGAUACGGGCAUCACUAGAGUUCGGCAGGGGAGACUGGAAUUCCUGGUGUAGCGGUGAAAUGCGCAGAUAUCAGGAGGAACACCGGUGGCGAAGGCGGGUCUCUGGGCCGUAACUGACGCUGAGGAGCGAAAGCAUGGGGAGCGAACAGG
Molecule: ribosomal RNA, 254 nt
Filed under: uncultured bacterium
Lineage: Bacteria
Description: partial 16S ribosomal RNA
Rfam family: Bacterial small subunit ribosomal RNA
Source: RNAcentral